RNAcentral lists this small RNA (59 nucleotides) under Sinorhizobium meliloti 2011. RNAcentral describes it as "putative ncRNA". The record is from RNAcentral. Lineage: Bacteria; Pseudomonadati; Pseudomonadota; Alphaproteobacteria; Hyphomicrobiales; Rhizobiaceae.
AACCGGUCAGUUCAACGCCUCCUCGGCAUGACUGCCAUGCCAAGGAGCAUGUGGUUCUU